GCCCAGACUCCUACGGGAGGCAGCAGUGGGGAAUAUUGCACAAUGGGGGGAACCCUGAUGCAGCAAUGCCGCGUGGGUGAAGAAGCACUCCGGUGCGUAAAGCCCUGUCAGCAGGGAAGAAAAUGACAGUACCUGGACAAGAAGCCCCGGCUAACUACGUGCCAGCAGCCGCGGUAAUACGGAGGAUGCGAGCGUUAUCCGGAUUUAUUGGGUUUAAAGGGUGCGCAGGCGGAGGUGCAAGUCAGCGGUCAAAUUGCGGGGCUCAACCCCGUACUGCCGUUGAAACUGCAUCCCUUGAGUGCGCGAGAAGUAUGCGGAAUGCGUGGUGUAGCGGUGAAAUGCAUAGAUAUCACGCAGAACUCCGAUUGCGAAGGCAGCAUACCGGCGCGCAACUGACGCUCAUGCACGAAAGCGUGGGUAUCGAACAGGAUUAGAUACCCGAGUAC
RNAcentral lists this ribosomal RNA (446 nucleotides) under uncultured bacterium. RNAcentral's name for it is "bacterial SSU rRNA". It matches the Rfam family "Bacterial small subunit ribosomal RNA", at positions 329 to 793 of the family's 1533-position model. The record is from RNAcentral.